This 513-nucleotide ribosomal RNA is filed under the name uncultured bacterium. RNAcentral's name for it is "bacterial SSU rRNA". It matches the Rfam family "Bacterial small subunit ribosomal RNA", at positions 32 to 518 of the family's 1533-position model. The record is from RNAcentral.
AACGCUGGCGGCGUGCCUAAUACAUGCAAGUCGAACGGUCUUUCUAUGGAAGCUUGCUUCCACUGAGAAGAUAGUGGCGAACGGGUGAGUAACACGUGGGUAACCUGCCCAUAAGAGGGGGAUAACAUCCGGAAACGGGUGCUAAUACCGCAUAGUUUUCUUGAUCGCAUGAUCGGGAAAGGAAAGACGGCCUUUGUGCUGUCGCUUAUGGAUGGACCCGCGGCGUAUUAGUUAGUUGGUGAGGUAACGGCUCACCAAGACGAUGAUACGUAGCCGACCUGAGAGGGUGAUCGGCCACAUUGGGACUGAGACACGGCCCAAACUCCUACGGGAGGCAGCAGUAGGGAAUCUUCCGCAAUGGACGAAAGUCUGACGGAGCAACGCCGCGUGAGUGAAGAAAGGUUUUCGGAUCGUAAAACUCUGUUGUCAGAGAAGAACAAGUUGGAGAGUAACUGCUCCAGCCUUGACGGUAUCUGACCAGAAAGCCACGGCUAACUACGUGCCAGCCGCUGC